Molecule: ribosomal RNA, 443 nt
Filed under: Paramiridius indochinensis
Lineage: Eukaryota; Metazoa; Arthropoda; Insecta; Hemiptera; Miridae
Description: partial large subunit ribosomal RNA
Rfam family: Bacterial large subunit ribosomal RNA
Source: RNAcentral
GACUGUACAAAGGUAGCAUAAUCAUUUGUCUUUUAAUUGAAGGCUGGUAUGAAUGGUUGGACGAAAAAUAUACUUUCUUUAUUUUAUAUUAAAAAUUUAAUUUUCUAGUCAAAAAGCUAGGAUUAUUUUAUAGGACGAGAAGACCCUAUAGAACUUUAUUUUCUUUUUGUAUAGGUUUUUUUGAUUAUUAUAAAAUUAUAUGCUAAUGUUAAUUUUAUUGGGGUGAUGGAAAAAAUUAUAUAACUUUUUUUGUUUAAUACAUUUAUAUAUGUUUUUUGAUCCUUUAUUAUGGAUAGUAAGAUUAAGUUACCUUAGGGAUAACAGCGUUAUUUUUUUGGAGAGUUCUUAUUGAUAAAGAAGUUUGCGACCUCGAUGUUGGAUUAAAAUAAGUGGCAGGAGUAGGAUAUUGUUUACUGGGUCUGUUCGACCUUUAAAUUUUUACA